CCUGAUGCUCCUUCUCCUUGCACCUCCUUGUUGCUGCUCUUCCCCUCCUUUUCUGCUACUCAAAUCUCUCUGCUGCUCCCUCACGCUCCUGCCUGCCGCUGCUCUUUCUCUAACCUCCCCACGCCUCUGCUCUGCUUCCUCACCUCCAUUGCUGCUCCCUUCUUCUCAACGUGACCUGCUGCCGCACCUUCUGCUCCUUAUCUCCUUCUUCAACCUGCUGCUGCUCGCCCUCAACCCUCUCUGCUGCUUUUCUUCUCCCUCAACGCCUGCUGCUGAUUCCUCUCAACGCCCCCUACUACUUCUUUCUUCUUCCACCUGCUGCUGCUUCUCUUUAGAUCCACAAAAACUGCUGCUGCUGCUCUCUCUCUCUCUCUCUGAAUUUUCUAUAAGCUAAGAUGUGUAAAAUUUUGUAAUAUUCAGAUUUUUAAGAGUGUUGGCAACAUGUAGCUUGUUCUGUUUGGUACUUGUAAUAUAUAAUGCUUGUCUUGAAUUUCUGUAGGCUGUGAGAAAUAAUUGUCCUUGAAAUCUUGCUCUGUGAUUUAGUAACCUUCUAGUAUAUUUGUGUGAUCACCUUGUGUACUAGUCCCUGUACUAGUUCUCUGUACUUAUCCUAUUUGUAGUCUCUGUGUGUGUUAGCUCUAGUACCUGUGAUAUGUAUGAGUGUUUGUGUUGUGAUAUAUUUCUGUCCCUAUCAUAUUAGCUUGUUUCUUUCCUUCUGUCAUUGCUUGUUAUAUAUGUCUAUGUUUUUUUGAA
RNAcentral lists this long non-coding RNA (753 nucleotides) under Triticum aestivum (bread wheat). RNAcentral describes it as "long non-coding RNA (TAES_LNC005388)". Lineage: Eukaryota; Viridiplantae; Streptophyta; Magnoliopsida; Poales; Poaceae. The record is from RNAcentral.